UUUUUGAAAAUAAUUUAAAGUCUAAUCUGCCCACUGAUAUUAUAUUAAAGGGCUGCAGUAUUUUGACUGUACAAAGGUAGCAUAAUCAUUAGUCUCUUAAUUGGUGACUUGUAUGAAGGAUUUGAUGAAAUAUAAACUGUCUCAUUUUAAUUUAUUGAAUUUAAUUUUUUAGUUAAAAAGCUAAAAUUUAAUUAAAAGACGAGAAGACCCUAUAGAGUUUAAUAAUUUAAUUAGUUAUUAUUUUAUAUAAUUUUUUUUUUUAAAAAUUAAUUAAAUUAUUUUGUUGGGGUGAUAGAAAAAUUUAAUUAACUUUUUAUAAAAAUUAACAUUAAUUUAUGAAUAAAUGAUCCGUAAUUUACGAUUAUAAGAAAAAAUUACCUUAGGGAUAACAGCGUAAUUUUUUUUUUUAGUUCAAAUAAGAAAAAGAGUUUGCGACCUCGAUGUUGGAUUAAGAUAAAAUUUAAAUGCAAAAGUUUAAAAUUUUU
This 485-nucleotide ribosomal RNA is filed under the name Archon apollinus (false apollo). RNAcentral describes it as "partial 16S ribosomal RNA". Lineage: Eukaryota; Metazoa; Arthropoda; Insecta; Lepidoptera; Papilionidae. The record is from RNAcentral.